UGAAAGAAGAAAAAGGCCGAAGUUCUGGCGC
This 31-nucleotide non-coding RNA is filed under the name Mus musculus (house mouse). The record is from RNAcentral. Lineage: Eukaryota; Metazoa; Chordata; Mammalia; Rodentia; Muridae.